UGGGGAAUCUUAGGCAAUGGGGGAAACCCUGACCUAGCCAUGCCGCGUGGAGGAAGACACCCCUAUGGGGCGUAAACUCCUUUUCUAUUGGAAGAAAACCCUGUUUUUUCAGGGCGUGACGGUACAAUAGGAAUAAGCACCGGCUAACUCCGUGCCAGCAGCCGCGGUAAUACGGAGGGUGCAAGCGUUGUCCGGAAUCACUGGGUGUAAAGGGUGUGCAGGCGGGGCAGCAAGUCAGAGGUGAAAGCCCACGGCUUAACCGUGGAAGUGCCUUUGAAACUGCUGUUCUUGAGUCUCGGAGAAGUUGCUGGAAUUCGUGGUGUAGCGGUGAAAUGCGUAGAUAUCACGAGGAACACCAGAAGCGUAAGCGAGCAACUAGACGAGUACUGACGCUGAGGCACGAAAGCGUGGGGAGCAAACA
Molecule: ribosomal RNA, 421 nt
Filed under: uncultured bacterium
Lineage: Bacteria
Description: bacterial SSU rRNA
Rfam family: Bacterial small subunit ribosomal RNA
Source: RNAcentral